CCAUGCAUGGUUCAUGUUGACCGUGCUGUCUCUUUGGCUGCAGGGUGGUGGGCUCUGGUGACCAUGUGCACCACCAUCAUGCUUCUCUCCACUCUGGCUCUAGUGCUGCGCCAGCAUUUCACUGGCCGACCCAAGACCUUUCCAAAAGACUCUUCCACAGAGGAAGAGGCAUCCUGUGUGCAGAGCAGCAAGGGGAACUGAGGCACACUGCGUUAUCAGCCUCAGAUGUGGGUUUUAGAUGUGGAAGGUGUCCUCAGGUCC
Long non-coding RNA from Larimichthys crocea (large yellow croaker), 261 nucleotides. RefSeq lists it as uncharacterized. NCBI's taxonomy places the organism in Eukaryota, Metazoa, Chordata, Actinopteri, Sciaenidae. The record is from RefSeq and is a predicted model, not a curated record. The transcript has 3 exons.